This 329-nucleotide ribosomal RNA is filed under the name uncultured eukaryote. RNAcentral's name for it is "partial 18S ribosomal RNA". It matches the Rfam family "Eukaryotic small subunit ribosomal RNA", at positions 1470 to 1796 of the family's 1831-position model. The record is from RNAcentral.
CCCUUAGGUGUUCUGGGCCGCACGCGCGCUACAAUGAUGAAUUCAACGAGUUUAUAACCUUGGUUGAAAAGCCUGGGUAAUCUUUUGAACUUUCGUCGUGAUGGGGCUAGACCCUUGCAAUUAUUGGUCUCCAACGAGGAAUUCCUAGUAAACGCAAGUCAUCAGCUUGCAUUGAUUACGUCCCUGCCCUUUGUACACACCGCCCGUCGCACCUACCGAUUGAAUGGUCCGGUGAAAUCUUCGGAUUGAGACUUUGAUUUCUUCACGGAAAACGCUGUUUUAAAAAGUUGAUUAAACCUUACCAUUUAGAGGAAGGUGAAGUCGUAACA